GGAGGGGAAGAUGAAGAGGGAAUUUAGUAGGAACCGUAGGGAUUGUCGCUGGCCUUUGGAAACAAACGCAUGUGCACAUCUCGAAAGUCUUACUUAGUACCUCGAUCUCUUUCCUUUUGUGAACCCCUUUUCUUACACCUGUGCACCCAUUGUAGGUCCCGCGAGGGAUCCUAUGUCUCUAUCUACUCUUAAAUGUAUGGCCUAGAAUGUCUUGAAACGUCGUCUGGCCUGGCUAACGCUUGGUUGGCGGCAGUAAAGAACCUUAUACAACUUUCAGCAACGGAUCUCUUGGCUCUCGCAUCGAUGAAGAACGCAGCGAAUUGCGAUACGUAAUGUGAAUUGCAGAUUUUCAGUGAAUCAUCGAAUCUUUGAACGCACCUUGCGCUCCUUGGUAUUCCGAGGAGCAUGCCUGUUUGAGUGUCAUUAAAUUCUCAACCAUCCUUUGAUUUAUUUCGACGGUUGGCUUGGAUCUUGGGAGCUGCCGGCGACUCACUGGGGUCUUGUCGGCUCUCCUUAAAAGUAUUAGCAAAUGGUGUGAUGAGCUUCGUGCAUGAACGGCCUUUGACGUGAUAAUGAUCGUCGUGGCUGGAGUGCCUCGAGAGGCUUAGAUCGUCUUUGCUUCUAAUCUUGAAUUGUAGAGGGAGGGGAACUCUGCUCCGGCGGAUGAAACUUUCCUUUACUUUCUUUUUGACUUUUGACCUCAAAUCAGGUAGGACUACCCGCUGAACUUAAGCAUAUCAAUAAGCGGAGGRAAAAGAAACUAACAAGGAUUCCCCUAGUAACUGCGAGUGAAGCGGGAAGAGCUCAAAUUUUGAAUCUGGCGGUCCYUUGUGGCCGUCCGAGUUGUAAUCUAGAGAAGCGUUUUCCGCGCUGGRACCGUGUACAA
Molecule: ribosomal RNA, 886 nt
Filed under: Alpova alpestris
Lineage: Eukaryota; Fungi; Basidiomycota; Agaricomycetes; Boletales; Melanogastraceae
Description: eukaryotic LSU rRNA
Rfam family: 5.8S ribosomal RNA (bases 269-423)
Source: RNAcentral